Molecule: ribosomal RNA, 362 nt
Filed under: Clostridioides difficile
Lineage: Bacteria; Bacillati; Bacillota; Clostridia; Peptostreptococcales; Peptostreptococcaceae
Description: bacterial SSU rRNA
Rfam family: Bacterial small subunit ribosomal RNA
Source: RNAcentral
UUUUAUUUGAGAGUUUGAUCCUGGCUCAGGAUGAACGCUGGCGGCGUGCCUAACACAUGCAAGUUGAGCGAUUUACUUCGGUAAAGAGCGGCGGACGGGUGAGUAACGCGUGGGUAACCUACCCUGUACACACGGAUAACAUACCGAAAGGUAUGCUAAUACGGGAUAAUAUAUUUGAGAGGCACUCUUGAAUACCAAAGGUGAGCCAGUACAGGAUGGACCCGCGUCUGAUAGCUGUUGGUAAGGUAACGGCUUAACCAGGCGACGAUCAGUAGCCGAACCGUCGAGAGGGUGAUCGGCCCACAUUGGAAAUGAGACACGGUCCAAACCUCCGUACGGGAGGCAGCAGUGGGAAUAUGCAC